GGAUUCUGUUUCUUGGGAGAGACGGGCCACGGGACUGCGUCCUGGUUUUCAGGGGCCUGGGGCGCCUGACUCUACCACCCGCGCUGUGGAGGCCGAGGCAAGGCUCGCCUGCAGAUAUGGGCUUGUGUUUGUUCUGUUCCUGGAAGACAUGCGCUGCCACCGAGUCACUGGGCUUUUGACUCAGCUGUGUUUCCUCCUGCAGAUGAACCCAAACCCAGGCUUUGGAGUCAGCAGAGCCAGCUGGGGCAUCAGCCUCCCACUGGCGUCUGUGUGACUUUGGGCAAUUCUCUUGACCUCUCUGAGCUUCGGUUUUCGGUCUCUCUGAAAUGGGAGGAACCAACUAGACCAGCGUCUCAAUCCCUGGACUCAAGCCUUGGACAUCUCAAGUGGGCUGUCUGGAGCCCCCUACACUGGGCCCAGGUGGAUCUUAUCAAUUCACUCAACAAAUAUUUGCUGAACUCCCAUCUGGGCUGGCUCUGCCUGUGAGGCUAGGAACGUCAAAAGGAACCCAGGCAGCCAACCCUCCAGGACCUUGGGGUGGUGUGAAGGCCCCAGAUUUCUGAAAGUGGAACAAAGCCAGACCCUGUGGCCGCCACCUUCUGGCCAACCUCAGAUGGAGCCUUCCAGACACAUCAACUCCCAGGGCUGUGGAAAGAAAAGAUGGAGUCUCUACCUGGCCGGUGCCAUGACACCUGCACACGUGGCAACAAAGAAAAGGGAAGAGAAAGACUCCAUGUUGACUCUACCUGGCUCCCAGACGGAGUUCCGCUCUUUUUGCCCAGGCUGGAAUACAAUGGCACGAUCUCCACUCACUACAAGCUCUUCCUCCCGGGUUCAAGCAAUUCUCCAGCCUCAGCCUCCUGAGUAGCUGGGAUUACAAGUGCCCGCCACCACGUCCAGCUAAUUUUUGUAUUUUUAGUCAAGAUGGGGUUUCACCAUGUUGGCCAGGCUGGUCUCGAACUCCUGACCUCAGGUGAUCCUCCCGCCUCAGCCUCCCAAAGUGCUGGGAUUACAGGCAUGAGCCACUGCACCUGGCCAAUGGAUCCAUUUCAAAAAUCUCUUAA
This 1064-nucleotide long non-coding RNA is filed under the name Homo sapiens (human). Its description in RNAcentral is "HSALNT0156238". The record is from RNAcentral. Lineage: Eukaryota; Metazoa; Chordata; Mammalia; Primates; Hominidae.